AUGGAGGCGUGCCUUAGCCUGGAGCCCAGCAAGAAGAUCGUCGGGAGCUUUGGGACAUUUGAGACGGCCGUUCUCCAUGUGGCCAACGCCAGCCAGCUGCAGGCAUUGCGCCGGCCUCGGCAGGAGUCGGUCAAGCCCAAUGGCCAACUUGCAUUUUCACGUCAAGCAUGGCUGAUUAUCAGAGGGCAAGGAAAGAUGGAGUAG
Molecule: ribosomal RNA, 204 nt
Filed under: Triticum aestivum (bread wheat)
Lineage: Eukaryota; Viridiplantae; Streptophyta; Magnoliopsida; Poales; Poaceae
Description: partial small subunit ribosomal RNA
Source: RNAcentral